Lolium rigidum is the source of this 376-nucleotide long non-coding RNA. RefSeq lists it as uncharacterized. The transcript has 3 exons. NCBI's taxonomy places the organism in Eukaryota, Viridiplantae, Streptophyta, Magnoliopsida, Poales, Poaceae. The record is from RefSeq and is a predicted model, not a curated record.
CAGUUGUCCUUGCGUCAUUCGGCAACGCUCUCUUCUGGGGUGAAUAUGGAAGGUUGCAGGGCCUGAAACCCAUUCGGAUGUCAAACGAAUGGGGCAUCUUGAGCCCUAUCCUUCAGCUCGCGGCCUACCACUGGCUCAAGCGGAACGACAUUCCAGCGAUAUACAGGGAGGAAAUACCCCAGCUUUUCCACCAGUUCACCGAGACCUUGAAGUACGGAUACACUCUACUCCGUAGGGACGAGGAGGAGAAGGAAGACGAUUAGCGCCGAAGAAGUGAAUUAGAGAUCGAGGGUCAAGAGGAAGGAAGAAAACGUUGAAGCGUUCAGAGUUCAGACUGGAAGUAUUAGGAUGAGAGAUGUUACAACAAUGCUUUUAU